Molecule: long non-coding RNA, 3869 nt
Organism: Melospiza melodia melodia
Lineage: Eukaryota; Metazoa; Chordata; Aves; Passeriformes; Passerellidae
Exons: 4
Source: RefSeq, a predicted model, not a curated record
UUUUUUACUUUUUUUUAAAAUCAAAAGCUAAUCAAGGACUUUCCUCUAUGCCUCUAUGCCAUCCAUGAGGAGGAGACUCUCUCAAGGUCAUCUGCUUCCUGCUCCAGGAGGUUUGGUAUUUUUCUUAUGAAUUGAUGACAAUUCCACUGAAUGACAGCAACCAUGAAUCAGAACUCUCUGACUUCUUCUGGAUGGUGCAGGCAGGUACCCUGUCUGCUCUCUGGUGCUGUGAGUCCUGCACUGAAGUGUGUAGGGGAACAAAAAAGGACACAGUUUUAAGAAUUAAGAAUUAAGUCUUCUUCAGCUGAAUUCCAUGGUGACCUGGUGACCUGAUUCCCCACAGCAGACUGGUGUUUGCCGAGAUUGAAGGGCGAACAAAGCAAAAUAGUUGGUGCUUCAGGUCUCUUGGAUAGCAAGCAAAACAUCACAGAAAACUUCUUUGCACUAAUGCAGGAGGAGAACAAAGCUUUUGAACAAAAGAUUUAAAUUCCAUCUGUCAUUUCCACCCACUACUAAAUCUACCAAAGACUGAACUUUCAUCCGACUGAGCCGAAUGCAAUGAUAUCUAACUGUGGUGCCACUGAUCACUGCAGAGCAUAGACCUGACUUUUCAGCUUUUGGAAACUGUUAACAUAGAUUUAAGUGCAGCAGAGGAGGCAUGAAGCCAUGAAUGUUUUACUGGAGAGCUCCAGAUCAUCUCUCAGCAGGUGCUGCAGCAAUGGUACCACCUGGACUCCCAGCAUCUUCAUCCUGGUGUGGAUACUUUGAAUAUAUGUAUAGUCAUGAGCUCUGCCCACCAUGCAAUGGAAAACCUGCAUAGUUUUAAACACUGUGUUCUUUUUUCCUUUACUGACUAAGAUGUUUCCUUCAUAUCAAGUUUUUUUCUUCAAUUAACCCCUAGAAUUGUAACUUUUUGCACACUCCCCCAGAUAAAAAUUGAAAUUACUGACUAAUUAACUGACUAUAAGGGCUGAGGUUUUAUGAGAAAAACAGAGGAUUCAUUAGAAUUCAAAGCUUGGCAUUAUUGCAAUGUAUGCAAAACCAUUUCUGUCAUUGGUUAAAUUAUCACUUACUCAAUUUCAUCUAUCUUAUUAAAAGCUACAUUGGAACAGCCUGUUGCUUAAAUGAACAUACCUCCCCAUGAAUAUGUUGUUUUGAUUCCAUGAUUCUUUUUUUAUGAAAUCUGUUUAUGAGCUGAAGGAAGUGAAAGACAAGUGGAAAAAAUUAGCAGCUGAUAUCCCUGGUUCUGACUAGAUACUGCUAAGUGUUUAAUAUUUAGUUGAUUUUAGAUUUACAAAUAAUCUUGGUAUGUAUGCAGUAGUGAAAUGGUAAAUAUUCCUUCACUGGGUAUUUCUCAGUAAAAAUAAGAGUGAAUGUAAUGUUUAGUGCUUGUUGGUUUUUUAAAAGGUUUUCUUGCUUUGAAAUACACAGAUGACUACUUGGUUUAAUAAAGUAUCACUGUAAUUAGUGACACACACUUAGAAGAAGUUGAAGUGCUCAAAUUCAAGCCAUGUUAAGGCUUUCUUCUGUUUAAAAUCCAUCCAUUAGAUUAGGUGGAAGGGUCAUAAAGCAUUCUGUGAAAUCCGGCGCUAAUAUAUCAGUCUUGAAGGGUGUUAAUUUGGUUCUCCAGUUCUGAUUUGUUUGGAAGAACAUAUUAAUUGCUUGUUAGGCAGAAUUAAACCAUUUUCUGCUAAAAAAGAAAAUUGGAUAUACUGAGACUAAAGAGCUGUGUCUUUGCAGAGCAUUUUCGUUCUGAAUACGGCAGCUUGUUUAGCAAAAGGCAGAACAGGAGGAUUCUGUCUUUUUGGAUCUUUGAACAGCUCUGAGAAACAAAGGCUGAUAGAGCUGAGAGUUGCAGAAGAGGGAGCACUUUAUCCCCGCCACAAAAGGAAAAUAAAAAUCCUUAAGGUCAUAAUAUUAUGUGGUCUGCCUCAGCAUCUUUCCUGGCUCACAGCUCAAGCAGUCAGGAAAAGGAUUAUGAAAAUGAGAAGCUUUUCCACUCAAAAGCAAAAGUUUUUGUUUCUGUUGCAGUCACAGAUUGUUCCUGGGGCCUGAUCCUGUCUCUCCUGAGCUAUGGCAGAGUCCCAUUAAAGUUAAUGGAGAAUAACUUGGGCAUUGGGAUGUACAUGGAUUGAAACAGAACCAGUCAUAACCACCAAAAAUCCAGGCAGAGGGGUCUCUUAAAAACAAUAUUCUGACAUGUCAGUGUCCAGUUUAGAAUUCCAGCCACUUCAAGCAGGUGCAGAAGUCUGUGUUCUGUGUGUGCCAAGACUGUAGAGGAGACUCUGCUGGGACAGGCAGUGAAGGGUCAAUGUCCUCAUGCUCUUACAGAUGUCUCUUUUUGUUAGAAAAAUCAUGGUACUAGAUGAAUUUUCUGGAUAUGGAAUUCACACAAAACCACAAAGAACAUAACAAACACAUAUUCCCAUAGUAGGAAUGUAAAUAUUAAUUAAAAAAUGACCAGGCAAGGCCGUGACUCUGCUGCAUUGCCUGAUGUAUUCUCAUGAGGGCUAACCUUUCCAUCACAUAUUAAGUUGAUUUUUGCAAAAGAGCUGUAUGGAGGAAGUACCCAGCCAUUCACAUGAGCCCUUGCUCAUCCCUUGCUGUGUGUGAACAUAAGUUCCCAAUGUGAUCAGGGCAAUGAGGGACAAAAAGCUUGACAGGAAUCCUUAGUGAGUAGGAUACUUCUCUGAGGAGGACCACAUGAACAUGAGAAGUGGCCUUGAUUGUUUCCUACAAUAGCAGCUGAUUUCUAGUGUGUUCUGUCAAUACUAUAUUGAUCUCUUGACACUAGGUAGAUGAAAAGGAAGCAAUUUUCUAUGUUUACCUGCAAAUGUACCCAAUACCUAGCUAUUUCUGGGGCUUGAUUGUUGAAUGAACUGUGAUUCCCAAACUUCGCUAUUCCAUAUUUUGAAACGUUUCCUAUUUGCUUCUGUAUAAGGUGAUUCUCCUGUGUAUGUUUUAAUUUUCCUUUUGUUUAGCUUGGAUCUCCAGCUUCUUAGAACACAUUUUAUUUAAAGCUGAAAGGGCACUGAUGAGCUUUUCAUGAUAAUCUCAGUUUGCACUUGUGCUCUCAAACUGAUGUGAAGAAUACAUGUGGGAAUAUUUUUAAUUCAGUAUUUAUAUUCAAUAGAUUUUACAGAGUUUAAAUGCACCUUCCAAAUCUGUAAUAUAAAUGGCCAUAGUUACAAUAAUUACUUGUUGCUCUGGCCUUGCCAUAUCUUUGCCCUCCGCCUGGAUUGCUUCAAUUCUCAUGGUUUCAGCAAAGAGCAAUAUUGGAUAUUUUAGAAACACCAAUGGAAGUCUUCCUCUGUGUAAUUUCCUUUUGCAUACCUUAAAACCAGUGAUCUAAACCUUGUGCUUUGUGGCUAACAAGGGUGUGUUUUUCUCUUUCCUCCCUAACUCUCUAGCAGCCUACCAGACCUCUUGUUUGUCUGCCUGGUGUAUUUCUGUCUUAUCCUCACCCCCGAGCUGCCAGAGUCAGGAUCAACCCAAGCUUGACACUGUCACUGUGAGUCACUUGAUCUUGGCUGUGAGCCAGUGCUACCAAGUGCCAAAAAACAACAAAAAAACCAAAUCCAUACAUCUCCUUCAUUAGGUCUGAUCUUACCCCUAGCUAAGACAAUGAUAAGUAUUUUGGGGAAUGGAGUGGGGCUUUUUUAAUAGCAUUUGAGAUAUUUGUGCUGUGGGAAUGAUAUUGUAUUUGUUAUAAGGACUAGCUACUAGUUUACAUCAUCAGGUUUAAAUUCAAGUGGUUGGCUCUAGUACAAAUACUGGAAUUGCUUCAUUGAAGGCAAUAAAAUAGUGUUUGGCUUUUUCUGGAUUUCUGUAACUUUGUUUGUGAAAUAAAGGUCAUCCAAUUUUUCAGA